Manacus vitellinus (golden-collared manakin) is the source of this 165-nucleotide long non-coding RNA. RefSeq lists it as uncharacterized. The record is from RefSeq and is a predicted model, not a curated record. The transcript has 3 exons. Lineage: Eukaryota; Metazoa; Chordata; Aves; Passeriformes; Pipridae.
AACACUAUUCUUCCCCAGAAAAGACUGGAAGCACUAAUGCCUUCAUCAUUCUGAUCUGUAAAUGAAGAUGUCCUACUUCUGUUGCCCGUUGGUGGAGGUGAUUUGGAAAGGACCUACACAAAGAUCAGAUAAUAAUCUUCAACAAGUAUCAGUCCAAGACACCUG